Molecule: ribosomal RNA, 250 nt
Filed under: uncultured bacterium
Lineage: Bacteria
Description: partial 16S ribosomal RNA
Rfam family: Bacterial small subunit ribosomal RNA
Source: RNAcentral
CGUAGGUGCAAGCGUUGUCCGGAAUUAUUGGGCGUAAGAGCUCGUAGGCGGUUUGUCGCGUCUGCUGUGAAAUCCUAAGGCUCAACCUUAGACUUGCAGUGGGUACGGGCAGGCUUGAGUGCGGUAGGGAGAUUGGAAUUCCUGGUGUAGCGGUGGAAUGCGCAGAUAUCAGGAGGAACACCGAUGGCGAAGGCAGAUCUCUGGGCCGCUACUGACGCUGAGGAGCGAAAGCAUGGGAGCGAACAGGAUU